RNAcentral lists this ribosomal RNA (429 nucleotides) under Chloroflexota bacterium. Its description in RNAcentral is "Chloroflexi bacterium partial 16S ribosomal RNA". It matches the Rfam family "Bacterial small subunit ribosomal RNA", at positions 355 to 776 of the family's 1533-position model. The record is from RNAcentral. Lineage: Bacteria; Bacillati; Chloroflexota.
UAGGGAAUCUUCGGCAAUGGACGAAAGUCUGACCGAGCAACGCCGCGUGAGUGAAGAAGGUUUUCGGAUCGUAAACCUCUGUUGUUAGAGAAGAACAAGGACGUUAGUAACUGAACGUCCCCUGACGGUAUCUAACCAGAAAGCCACGGCUAACUACGUGCCAGCAGCCGCGGUAAUACGUAGGUGGCAAGCGUUGUCCGGAUUUAUUGGGCGUAAAGCGAGCGCAGGCGGUUUCUUAAGUCUGAGGUGAAAGCCCCCGGCUCAACCGGGGAGGGUCAUUGGAAACUGGGAGACUUGAGUGCAGAAGAGGAGAGUGGAAUUCCAUGUGUAGCGGUGAAAUGCGUAGAUAUAUGGAGGAACACCAGUGGCGAAGGCGGCUCUCUGGUCUGUAACUGACGCUGAGGCUCGAAAGCGUGGGGAGCAAACAGG